CUCUGUGACUCCUACGGGAGGCAGCAGUGGGAAUAUUGCACAAUGGCGCAAGCCUGAUGCAGCAACGCCGCGUGAGCGAUGAAGGCCUUCGGGUCGUAAAGCUCUGUCCUCAAGGAAGAAUAAAUGACGGUACUUGAGGAGGAAGCCCCCGGCUAACUACGUGCCAGCAGCCGCGGUAAUACGUAGGGGCAAGCGUUAUCCGGAAUCACUGGGCGUAAAGGGUGCGUAGGCGGUUUUUCAAGUCAGAAGUGAAAGGCUAUGGCUCAACCAUAGUAAGCUUUUGAAACUGUUAAACUUGAGUGCAGGAGAGGAAAGUGGAAUUCCUAGUGUAGAGGUGAAAUUCGUAGAUAUUAGGAGGAACACCAGUGGCGAAGGCGACUUUCUGGACUGUAACUGACGCUGAGGCACGAAAGCGUGGGGAGCGAACAGGAUUAGAUACCCUGGUAG
This 447-nucleotide ribosomal RNA is filed under the name uncultured bacterium. RNAcentral describes it as "bacterial SSU rRNA". It matches the Rfam family "Bacterial small subunit ribosomal RNA", at positions 328 to 793 of the family's 1533-position model. The record is from RNAcentral.